This 521-nucleotide long non-coding RNA is filed under the name Phoenix dactylifera (date palm). Its description in RNAcentral is "long non-coding RNA (PDAC_LNC004880)". Lineage: Eukaryota; Viridiplantae; Streptophyta; Magnoliopsida; Arecales; Arecaceae. The record is from RNAcentral.
GAGCAAUCCAAAGAGCAUCAGUCCAAGAAUGGCGAUGACAAUGGCAAAAUAUACAAAAUAUGCGCUUGUUGAGAGGUUUUGCUCCAAAAUAUACAAAAUAUGCGCUUGUUGAGAGGUUUUGCUCCAAAAUACACAAAAUAUCAGGGACACAUAUAGUUCAGAUUACACAUUUCAAGGAUGAUCCAGAUAUAAUGCUUACCUUAGAUUCUUCAGUCCCCACCAGAAGUAGCAGCAGUACUACUGAAGGAACGGUGAAGAUGUGACGCUAGUAGAGAACAUAUAUCGACACAUUAGUUUAUCAUCACAAGUUUGCACCAUUCUCAGCUUUUGGUAGCUUGGUGGUUGGGGCUGAUUCAACAAGCAGACCCUCCAGAUGAAAACCAUGAGAAGAUCCUUACGCACUCUGAACGGUAGGCACGCUGGCUUAGAGCUGAACAAAACGAAGAACACACUCUGGAACGCCAUUCACUUCAAACAGCCACCAACUUCGUUAAAAGAUCAUUCCACCAAUUAUCUUGAUU